CGUGCCGGCGGGCAAGGUGGUGGCCGGAAGGGGGCGACGGGAGCCGGGGACGGCGGCCGGCUGGGGCGACGAGAGGCGGGGAGCAGAGGCGUACGAGAGAGAAGGGAGACAGAUCGUGGUGGGGGUGGCUGUCAGGAGGAUAAGGGGGAGAGAGAGAGUGGGUGGUGGGGGCGUGGGAUGGGCCGCAUCAGUUUUGCGUUGUGGAGAUGCAUGUGUGGAGCAGAUCAUGCCAUGUCAUCGAUCCGUGUGAUCGAUCCGUGUGGUGUGCUUUCUCUUUGCCGUCCGCCAGCAGACGGCAAAGAAACUGGCCAUUAGGUUGUCCUCGUAAGCCCGCCACCCACCCUCUUUGCCGUCAGCUAGCAGACGGCAAAGCUUCUUUGCCGUCCGCUAGCAGACGGCAAAGAUACGGCUGAUGGCAAACCCUAUCUUUGCCGUCCGCUGCCUCUUUGCCGUCCGCUUUCUGGUGGCUGAUGGCAAAGCCUUCCUUUGCCGUCCGCUGGCUGACGGCAAAUCUGCUGAUUCCAGUAGUGUAUAUAUAUGCAAAAUCAUGUGAAUGUAUGUAUCUCAUAAGUAAAUCCAAUCAAGAUUUAUUGAAUUUUCGGAUGGUUUCCAUGUGGAAGUUACAACAAUUUACAAGUCUCAGGAACAGCUUGUCAUGUUUAAACUAAAUGUUAGCUAUUUUUAUCCUCUUCUGUGGCAAUACUAUCUGGUAAAAAAAAAGUACAAGAUACAAGAUAUUUUCCUAUCUUAUUCUCUUCUUUCUGUGUGAAAUACUAAUUUCGUAUUAUUAUUUGCAGGCUCAGAAGCAUUAAUGUGGCAAUGUGACCCUAAUAGUGAUUGUUGUGAGUAGAGAAGGUCCUUUUAGAUUUAAUUAUGCACUAGGGAAAAUAGAAACAACUUAGAAAUCUUUGUUUAGUACCAUACCAUAAACCUCACUGAUAUUGAAUUAGUAAGGUGCACUAGCUACUGGCUACAUUACUUGAUCUAUCUAAUAUACAACCUAUACUUUGUGUUCCACUUCAUUUCCCCAUCUUUUGACCACACAGUUCGGUAGAAAUUCCUUUUGGGUGUUUCCUGCCAAACUGACAAAAUAAAAUUCAAGCUUAGGAUUGUACUUACACAUGUAGCAACAUUUGUAAAUUCAAAAAACGGAAGCAAAAUCCACCUGCUGAUUCGGGGAACAAAAUGCACCUACUGACAUGUAAUUAAUUUUUGUGGUAACUUGCAGUUCAGGAGGGCCACCGCUCCCAACGAGGGUCACCGCAAGCUAGGAUCUCGCAGAUACGGGUUCUGGUCGUCCAAGUACAAGUGCAUGCGUGAUUACUUAGUACAUGUUGAGGAUUGAUAUUUUAUCUGAGUAUGACCAUUUCUGGGAAUGUGUCUUCACCUACCGGCUCACUUCCUCCAAUCUCACUUCCGAGGAGUUCCUGGAAUCCUGUUAGGCGAUCCUUCAAGGUUGCGUCAGAUAAUUACAAACUUUUCGGGGGAAGUCCAUUAAGUUCAAAGAAAGGGGACAUAUUUUUUCCAUGUUCACCUGGUAGACCACUUAAAUCUAGCAACCGGAGCGACAGUUUAAUCAUCUCGGAAUUGCAUAAAUGGACAUAAAGGUGAGAAAAGUGUUGUAUCAUCAAGUGUGUCUCAAUAGACUAAGUGGUUUUGAGGCUGAUGAGAAUAUAAAUACAUGGGGAAAUUUUAAGCUCUUGCUUUCUUACGAGAGAAAUGAUAUUCCGUAUGGAAGUGAUUUUGAGAAAUGCAGGGCCAUGCAGUCCUGCAGUGGUGGGUGGAGCCUCGGAUGCGGAGGAGUGCAAGGGCAACACUGUCCUCGAAGAAGAACCGGAGGGUGGCGGAGUAGCAGCACUACACAUCGUCCUCUGCCGAACCGGCCUCCAUGAUGUCGCUGCUGCAGCCCCAGCAUCAUGGUACACACGCUACUCGAUCUCGCUAAUCCGUCUCCAUCUUGAUUGGGAUUGCGCUGAUUUGGGGGUGCGUGCCGAGAGGGAUCCUUACCGUGCGUUUGUGUAGAUUAAUUUCUUUCAUAGCUCCUUGCCUCUCGUUUGUGGUAUUGGCGGUUGUAGGGCCCUCGUCUUGGUGAAAGAAAAGGAGCUUGCUUUGUUGAUUUUGUGCACGAUGUACAUUCUGUCAUGUAUUAGUUGAUAAGUUACUUCUCUUUGUAGAGUAACGAUUAAUGAUUGAAUCUAUGCGUCACCUUCCUUGAUUAUCCAAUCUAAUUUAUCUUCAAGUA
Long non-coding RNA from Triticum aestivum (bread wheat), 2242 nucleotides. RefSeq lists it as uncharacterized. The record is from RefSeq and is a predicted model, not a curated record. Lineage: Eukaryota; Viridiplantae; Streptophyta; Magnoliopsida; Poales; Poaceae. The transcript has 4 exons.